GCUAACGCGUUAAGUCGACCGCCUGGGGAGUACGGCCGCAAGGUUAAAACUCAAAUGAAUUGACGGGGGCCCGCACAAGCGGUGGAGCAUGUGGUUUAAUUCGAUGCAACGCGAAGAACCUUACCUGGUCUUGACAUCCACAGAACCUUGUAGAGAUACGAGGGUGCCUUCGGGAACUGUGAGACAGGUGCUGCAUGGCUGUCGUCAGCUCGUGUUGUGAAAUGUUGGGUUAAGUCCCGCAACGAGCGCAACCCUUAUCCUUUGUUGCCAGCGGUCCGGCCGGGAACUCAAAGGAGACUGCCAGUGAU
RNAcentral lists this ribosomal RNA (308 nucleotides) under Escherichia coli. RNAcentral's name for it is "bacterial SSU rRNA". It matches the Rfam family "Bacterial small subunit ribosomal RNA", at positions 851 to 1159 of the family's 1533-position model. The record is from RNAcentral. Lineage: Bacteria; Pseudomonadati; Pseudomonadota; Gammaproteobacteria; Enterobacterales; Enterobacteriaceae.